AAAAGUUGCUUUCCAUAGAAUCAAUUAAUCGGGUUAUGCGAUUUUCUCUUUCUAGUCAAAUUCAUACCAAGUUUCUAACUAUCUUUUUUGUGACUUGUGAAUCUCUGAUGCUAUGUCUUGCUUUGAAUCUGUUGAUGAAAACAUCUGAACUUCUUCUAAAUAUUUCUGCAGAAAAUUUGUUACUCAAAUAAUUACAGGAUACCUUCCCAGUCUUAUUCUUCAGAUGUCUCUGAAGUUAGUGCCUCCUGUUAUGGGGUUUCUUUCCUCCAUUCAAGGAUACAUCUCACACAGUGAUAUAGAAAUGAGUGCAUCUAAAAAAGUAAUAUGGUUCACAGUAUGGAAUGUUUUUUUCGCAACCGUAUUUUCUGGCUCAAUUCUGCAUCAGCUCUAUGUCAUACUUGAUCUAAGGGAAAUUACUAGCAACCUAGCAGUGGCAGUCCCGGCACAGGUAAAACAAUGUCUAACAUUUACUCAUACUAUUUAUCAUUUUAGGCACUGCAUGAUAUUCAAGUCUAAAAAUGCAUACUAAAUUUGUGACCAAUUUAUAAUGGUACAAUAUUUUAUUUCCAAGUUUUUUUAAUGCAAUUCAUUUUGAUUUUACUGUAGGCAUCAUUUUUCAUUCCAUAUGUUGCCACAACAGGAUGGACAAACGUGUUGUCAGAACUAUUUCAGAUACUUCCUUUCAUUUCAAGUUUGAUAAAAAGGCCCUUCACAAAACAAGAGGAUGAAUUUGAAGCUCCAUCUCUUGCUUACCACAGAGAUGUUCCAAGAAUCCUUUUCUUUGGACUUCUUGGUAUUACAUAUUUCUUCUUAGCUCCGCUAAUUAUACCAUUCCUCUUGGUCUAUCUCUGUCUUGCAUACAUCAUUUAUCGAAACCAGGUCAGAUUUCUUUGUAUGCUUAUCUUAGAAUCAUUUUAUCCAUGAUAAUGUGAGACUCUCAUGGAUAAAUUGGUUGUUUCGGCUUGCACUGAUGCACUGCUUUUGUAUUACGCAGUUCAUAAACGUAUAUACACCAAAGUAUGAAACUGCAGGGAGAUUCUGGCCUAUUGUCCACGAUUCAAUGAUAUUUUCUCUAGUACUUAUGCAACUCAUUGCAGUGGGAAGUUUUGCAUUAAAAAAACUUUCUCCAGCUUCAACUUGGACUCUUCCUCUACCAGUAUUCACUCUUCUCUUUAAUUAUUACUGCCGAAGACGAUUCUUGCCUAUAUUUACUGCAUACUCAGCCGAGGUAAAGUUUCCAGCGACUCUGAUUGUCUUCAAAUAUAUUUUCCAGCACUCAUUCCUAACCUAAAAGAGACGACGAUAAAACUUUUAAAUAACUAUCUCCAAAAGAACGUUAAAUUGUUGCACCUCAACACUGAUUUGACUUGUGUUUGUAUUUUCAGAGUUUAGUAAAGAAGGAUAGGGAAGACGAAAAGGAUCCUGCCGCAAUGAAUGAAUUUUACAACCAAUUGUUAAUUGUAUAUAAAGAUCCUGCUUUGUUUCCAAUUCAUCACUCAUCAAGCACUGAUAGUCUUGUUAGCCCCCUUUUAUCUUAAGCUCAACACUAAGUAAUCACAUUAUUCUACCAUAUAAGCUCUCUCCUGUAUGUAAUGUAAGAUUGCUAUUUGAAGAAAAAAUGGAGUGAAGAAGCCAGAAGAUGUGCCAUUGUGUGCAGAAGACCAGAAGCCACAGAAGCUUCAAUGUUUCCAGUGUCUGUUGUUUUGAAAUUUACUUGUAAGUAGUCAACUUUUGGAUUUACUCUUAAAGUUAGAUCAACCAUGUAAUUUGUGUAUAUUUAUUAUGAGUUUCAUAAGUGAGAGUACAUUAAGCCAUAGAGAUUAGAGUGCUGAAUUGCCACGUUUAGUUAGAAUAUGCAACAACUAAGUCAUUAGUGCAGUGGGCUCUGGAUUGUUUGUAAUGGUAGAAACUACAAGUGGCAUGCAAUUUUGGUAUAGGAAAGCAUACGUGAUUAUUUUAUUGAUUGUGUGAUAUUGUAACUAGAAUUCAUUUAUAGUCACAGUUCACUUUUGCUACAAGCAAUCAUGUUAUUGAAUUGAAAAUUUGAAAUUAUAGUUAUAUGCAUCCAUGUAUUUAGCCAAAUAUAAAAUUAUUUAAAUUUUACUAUUAGAUUUUCUAAUACAAGAUAAACCACUAUCACAACUUCACAAGAUAAUGAAUACAAGAUGUAAUUACAUAAACAUAAUGCACUUAAGUUUGAUGCUUAGAGCCAAUGCCAUGUUAAUUAGAGUAGAAAAAGAGACUAAAGUAACCAAGAUGCCUUGAUAUCAAUCUUAGUAUGGGUUAUUAGUUCAUCAGGUUCUCUUCCUUAACGUUUUAUUGGUAGAAAUGAUCUAUGAUUAACAUUAGUCAUUAAUGUUGAUGAUAGUACAGUAAUCAAACCUAUAAGUACAAUUCAAAUAAGUUGGAUGGUUUUUAUCAAGGGACUCUAAUGAUAGUUUCAAAGACUAAACAGACAAAAUGAAGUAAGCCAAAAUAGAGAAUAUUGGGGACAAUCGGACUGCCCUUGUCACUUCUUUUGGUGUUUUAUCUGGAUAUGUUCUAAUUCUUUAAUAACAUCACGUUAAAUAACCAAUCUCACAAAGAAUAUCAUUCUUUCACACAACACAAAGGCUUAUUUGGUUUUUAUUUUAGAAAAUGUUCUUUUAUUUUAGUUUAUUGAUUUCAUUAUUAAUUGAAAAUCUAUCAUUUUUUCUUCUUCUCAUUUUCAUAUAUUUAUUUAUAAUAAAGAAAUAGAGAACCAAGUAGUUUGACUCGAAUAUUUAAUAAACUUCAGUUAACUCAUUGAUCGGGAGUACCGAUAUGCCAAUUUGGACUGAUACAUUCUUUAGUCACACAUUAGUUACCUACCGAUUGAAUCCUCCAAGAACGGGAGGGUAAUCUUGCAAAUCAAUGGAAACCAAAAGUAAAAUGGAAACACAACACCACUUGUGCAAUUAAAAGUGAAUAAAAAAACAAAAAAACAAAAUAUUUUUCAGACAACAAAACAAUAUCUUUCAUGUGUUUGAUUUAGAUUGGCCUAUGAGUGGGUCUCAUUGUAAAAGAAUAACAGUAAAUGUGCAUUCUUUUAUUAUGACUGAUAAGGGUGAUUUCUACAAGGUUUGUGACACUGACUACUGAUUUUCAUAUGCCGGAAACUAAUCUAAAUUUAAUAUUAUCCGAGGUAAAUCCAAGUAAAAAUAUGUUACAAGAACAAAGCUCCCAAUUAUUGACAGAUAGUUUUGGAGGAAUAUGGGUGUAGAAAUUGGACAAGAUCUUCCUGUCUUGGGUCGGUUCAUAUAUGACUUUGCUCUGACUUCAAUUGAGCCCCCACUAGUGGACAGCGAGAUUGGUUCAUUGAAUAAGUCGGUUCUUGAAUCGGAUACCAACUUUUCAAAAAAAUGUGGACAAGAUCUAUGAUCGGAAAUGGAUUGUGGUUUCCAAAAGUAACUACAAAUUGACAAUAAUCUGAUAGUUGAUGAUGAUGUGAUUUGUCAAAUUUAUAGUACUAGUCUUUCAAAUUGCACGAAUGACAAUGAUUCACCUGACUGUGAUCGCAGAGGAUUGCAACCUCAGGGCUCAGACAAUCUAGACACUUGUUUGGAUAAAUAACUAAACACUUAUAACAUAGUAAGUGCAUAUCAUAUAAGUGCUUAUUAUAAGCAGUUUUACAAAUAAAUUAUAAAUUGUUUUCAUAAACUAUCCUAAAUAAGCUUAAAACAGCUUAUGGACGUGUCAUAAGUUGUUUCCAUAACUCAAACUGUCUCACAAGUGCUUAUGUCAAUAGAUAAACUCAAAUAAGUCAGUCCAAACAGCUCUUAGGUGCAUAUGUGAUGCUUGUUCAAAAAAACAGGGAACACUUACCAUGUACCUGUAUUUAAGCAGUGCAUCAGUGCGACGAUAAUCUUAACCGUUGAAUGAAUUCAAUGACUAGGAUUGUAGUGCACAGUUAUGCAAGAGCAAGACAAUACAAAAAAGACAUUUCCUUCUCGAUAUCUCCACUAUAAUGAAAGAGAACUUAUGGACUGUUCUGAAGUUUGUUUACAAGGAAAAAAUAAAAUAGAGGAAAUCCGAAUCCAACACAGUAGAAAAGAGUAACUACAAGCACUUAGAUGCCCCUAAAUAUCUCACUCUCAACUGAAGAGCUUCUACUCACCAAUCAUAUAAAUUUGUAAGCUCCCCCUGGUGCUAUACACUAUACCAAAAGCAAAAAACCACACGUUUUGAACUGAAAAAUGAUGAAAAGGAGAAAAGUAAGAGAAUAUGAAGGAGAUGAAAAGAAUACUGAAGAAGGAAACACUGAAUGGAAACAGAUAAGAGAAGAGGCAGCAUCAGUAGCAGCUGCUCUACUUAGAGUUCGAAGAGCGAGAAAACGUUACAUUGGGGUGAGGCAAAGACCUUCAGGGAGAUGGGUGGCUGAGAUCAAAGACACCAUACAGAACAUAAGAUUGUGGUUGGGGACCUAUGACACUGGUGAAGAGGCUGCUAGAGCUUAUGAUGAGGCUGCACGUUUGCUUCGCGGUCCAAACACCCGCACAAAUUUCUUUCUUUGCCAAUCUUCUCAUUAUGUUCCCACUCUUCCUCCAAAGAUUGCCAAAAUCCUGCUUCAAAGAAUCAAAACCAGAAACACUGCCUCUUAUAUUCCUGCUAGUGCAGCUCCUUUUCCAAUUAACCAUUGCGAUGAGCAAGAAACCAAAGCAGAACCUGAACCCCACUUUUUUCACCAAAUAGAAGAAAACUUUCUAGAAAGUUAUGAUGGUGCUAGUUAUAGUUCUUCUGACAUAACUACUUUUCACUGUGGUAGUGGGACUAGUGAAGAAAAUUUUAACCAAGAGGGUAGCAGAGAGGAUUUCAGAUUGGAGUAUCAUUGUGCUAACAAUGUUGAUGAUGGUGAAAACAACCAGGUUUUUAAUGGAGAAUUUGAAGACUGCGAUGUUGGACUCACUGACUUCCAGUUUCUGGAUACUAUUGGGUCAUUAAGUCACUCUUACUCUUCGCCAUUUGAGAUAGCAGAGGAGAUGGUGGGGCCAAUGGUGGACGAGAAAUUUAAUGUGGAUGAUUCACUGUUACUUCGAGAAACUUUUAGAAUGAAGUAUGAACGUAAAUUCUCAGCUUGUCUUUACACCUUGAUUGGGGUGUCUGAGUGUUUGAGGCUACAAGUUGGACCAGAAAAUGGAAAUGAAUUCUAAUUUUUUUGAGGAUGGGUACUAUGAACUUUCCAUUACCAGAAUAACAAUAGCACAGAAAGGGGAAUAAAUGAAGAAGCAUAUCAAAUGGAAAGGUUUAGACUUACCAACAGGAAGAACAUAAUCUUCUUCCAUUCAUUUGGAGCUCUACUCAUGAAUUUUAUCCUACUAAGUCAGAAAAUAAAAUUGAAAUAGCAUAGAUCAUUCUUUAUUUAUAAAGGCUUGCAAGUUAGCCCAUAUUCUUAAAUUUCAAUAUAUAUAAAGCUAAUGUAGUAUCUCUACAAGCUCAUGAUCAUUAGUUUUCUAUCCUAUAAAUUUUUAAACCCUUCCUCUAGAUGUUACAAUGCCACUUUUCUGUAAUAUUUGGAAAUAACUCAAUAUUGCUUUUACCAAUCAAAAGAUCAUCACUAUUUUUGGCUAAAGAAAUGUGAAACAAUAUUUUGUAUUCUAUGAACUCCCUGAAAUUAAGCAUAUUCACGAGUAAAAAGUAAUGAACACAUACAAGACAAUGGGUCUUUUCCUGCCAAGCAAGAGAGUCCAAAUGUAUAUAAUAUUUGCCCAAUACCAUCAAAUAUUCAUUAGUGGAAAUAUCUAUAUAUAAAAGAACCUUUCAAGACUAAGGCAUGGCCAUGUUUGCUGAGGUUUAGAGCUUGUCAAUGUUCAAUCGGUUGAAAGGGAAGAACAUUAGAUCAGCUCAACUGUGUUUGAUCAACAGUUAUGCUAGGUACAGAUCGGUCUAUUCCAGUGGUACAUCAGUUUUCUUCUGGAUGGGAAGUACUGAACCGGUAGGGUACAGAAGCAAACAAUUCAAUUGCUGAUGAACUGGUUCAAUCUUAAUCAAAAUUUAUCAUGGAGAUAUUUGGAUACACAAUUUAAUUAAAUAUUCAUCUAAUAAACAUUUAUCAUGUAAGAACUUGUAUACACAGUUUCUAUAAUAAAAGAAGGGAUAUGGGCAAAUUAUGUAUAAGUUGUUUCUACAAGCUGUCUUAAAGAGCGGACGAACGAAAAUAAACUAAAUACAACUUAUAAAAGCAUAUCAUAAAAUAUUUUUAUAAAUUCUUCCAAACAAUUACAUGUAUGUUUGUUAUAUAAGGUAAGUCCAAAAUAUGAGCUCUUAAAAACACUCCGGAAAUACAAAAGUUUGCGACUGUAUUCCAUUCUUUGGUUUUUAAAUUGUAAAAAAACAAUUGGAUAAAGCAACCUUUGUUAGGUAUACUGUUUAAAAAAAGCACAACAAUGUUACGAUUUUUCAGUCUUUUAAAUAGACAAUAGACUUUGCUAUAUCAGCAUUCAAGUUCAUUCCUAAUGUAUAGUCAAACUUCGAAUAAAAAAUAAAAUGAGUUCAGGCAUAAAUUCAUUUCCGAUAUGAAAAAGAUGAUGUAAGAUACCAUCAUAAGACAGUUAAACCAUAAAAAUACCAAGGUCCUCUUCAUGUGCCAAUAUACAAACCAAAAUUAGAAUGCAAUAGCCAUGUCUGGCUUAUGGAAGAAGCCUCACCAGCGGUAUCAUUUAAGUAUAGUACUUGUAGUAGUGGAUCAACCAUUGUAGUAGAGAAAGGACACAUGCUUUCAUGCCUACAAGUAACACUUUGAUGUAACAUAAGCACAAUUCUUCCUGAGGAAAAUCAAUACUGAAACUCGGGAAAUUUAUAACACACUUAGUUAUGUAUAGAACAUAACCACAGAUCUUCAUAAGGAGAAUCAAUACUGCAACUAGGGGACGUAGAGUUGCCAUUCCCCACAUUUGUUGCGAAUUGGACGGGCAGGUCACCAAACCACACAAAAUAUGUUAUAACGUCAUCCAACCAAGUAGUGAAGAAAACAAAUUUUUUGGUUGUAAAACAAUACAAACAUACAAAACAUAGAAGAAACAUACAGAAAGAUCAUUAAGUGCAAAAGGCGAAAUCAGAAGGUGAAUCCAUUCCAAAUAAGCUACGUAUAAAUCUCUUUUAAUGCAAAUGAGCGCCUACUUUUUAAGAAUCCAAUUUGUGCACACUGAUCAAAGAUAAACUGAUUGGCAUUUAUGCUAAAGAAGAUAGAAAAAAAAAAUUUUAAACAUCACUGUUAGCACUUUUCUCUAGUAUGAGGAAUGAUAAAUACCACUAUAAGACCUCAUUGAAGCUUGUGGCAUGCCCUAGUAUUGGAAUUUGGAAGACCCUUAAACUUUUUACAAGAACCCAAAAAAGAUAAACUCUUAAACAUUGGGAGCUAAUUGUAACAACGGAGGCAGCUAGAAGUUAAUAAUACUAACCUCUAACACCUCUCUCAAUUAUUUCAGACUAUUUGUAAUCAGCAUGUUAGUAAUUAUAGAUCAGUUAAACAUAAAAUCUCCAGAGGUUACCCUACACAGCAUUAUGAAUUUAUGAUAGAAGCUUCAAAAGCACUGAAAGUAACUGUAAUAUAUUUCAUCAAGGAACAAUAAACGUGGGCUUUGAUUUGAAUUAAUUUCUUCCGUUUGUUUACAAAAGUACUACCUUUGCCACUGACAUAACAAGAAACUAAAAACAUCAAUUACCCUGAUUUUAAAUUUCUCUGUGUUUGUAAAGUAACUAAAAGAAGCAAUAUCCAUGUAUUGAGAGCUAUCUCAGCCCUCAUCAAGGCGAAAUCCAUUUAAAGCUAUCAACUCCAUAUAGCUUUCAUAUUCAAUGUUCUAAAGAAGUAUUGAUGGAAGGUUCCUCAUUGACAACACAAUUUUCUGGGAACAAUCUUUACCACUUCCACUUCAUCUUAUUAGUUCAAUUAUAUAAUCAAUAUCAUGCUGGAAAUGUCAUUGAAUGCCCAUUGUUUCAGCAGAAAUGGCCAUAGUUUCUAAAAUUGAGUUGCCAUCGCCAUUUGAGUUCUCCAUGCUAAAAGAUCUACAACUGAAAUAGAAAACCGCACUCAUCAUAGAAUCUAUAAGCACCACAAACGAAUACAUUAUUACCAAGAGCGGCCCUUCCCACAUUCUCGAAGAUCCAUCACCAUAACUCAGUGUCUUUACUCUGUGCUCAAACAACCCCUCCACAAAGGCCAUUCCUAUUGUCGAUCCAAGAUAUAUUAGCAAACCCACCUGAGUCUGACCCUUAAUUAAAAUACUCGACCUUAGCAUCGCCUGCGCUCCGGAAACAUCCUCCAGAACCGAGAUCACCAACGCAACACUGCAAAUGAUUAUCGCAUUGGCAAAUACAACAGAGAAAACUAACCCAACCAUCAAUGCAGCAUACACAACAACAUUAGGAGAAAAUCCAAGAACAGCCAAUGCACUACAAAACGCAACAAGGAAAACACAAAACAUAGUGAUGCAACCAACAAUAACUGUACAAGCCCACAUAUAUGUCGCAAGUAUCUUCCUCCAAAACUUAGCCACAAUCACACAAAACUUCGAACCAUCAAACUUCUUUCUCGAAUAAGUACAAUCAACAGAAUAAACCACAGCUGUUUUCGACAAUAACAACAAUGUAGCAUACAAAGGAAAACACAUCGCCGAAGCAAUAACCGUAUCCGCAAAUCUCUGACAAGAUUGCUUAAUCAUAGGUCUCAAAGGAAGACCACUAGUUUCAGCAACCAACAUAAGCCUAAUAGUAAGAUUCUUCACAAUAGAUUCAUCAACCAAUACAUUAGACAAAAGCACAGCAGAAACAGGACAAAUAAGCAAAAAGGCGAUUAUCAUAAAAGCCCAUGAAUUAAACCUAAGAAUCCUUAUAGUUUCUCUAAGAAUAUCCAAAGCAUUCAUUGAUUGAAUUUCAUGAUUAUGAUCAGAAAGUUCCAAUUCUAAUGCUUGACGUAAACGUGUUUCAUCUGAUCCAUCUUUUUUCAAAUGAUCUACCCUAAUCCUAGGAGAACAACCUCCACUUGAAAUCUCCAUGUUUGAACAACAAUAAAAAAACUAACCCAAAAUCAAAAAAUCGAUUUUUUCAUUGGAAAUUGAUGAUUAUUCCAAAUUUAACGGCAACCCAGGAUCUGAUAUAGAUUGAUUAACGUCACAAGACGUGAAUCACGAAAUGGGGUGUGUUCAAAAAAGAAAUUUUUUGUCGGCAAUGGAAAAAUUGAAGAAAAAAAAAGGGUAAAGAAUGAAGAAAGUGUGAAAAUUGAAGGAGAGUGAAACAUUGAAGACGAAGAAAGGAAUUUGUAGGAAGGGGCAAAUAAUUCAGAUUUGCAUUGUACAAUGUACAUCUACUGGAGCUGUCUACAGCUCAAGAAUAAUUUUCACUUUUUAUUUUUACACAUUCUUCAUAAAAUAGUAAUAACUUUAAAUUAAAUCGUCUAAGAAAAAAUCGUCAAAGAAAAAGUAAUAUCUAUAAAAUUGUAUUUUCUUUUCCUAUCAAAAUAUGAGUUAGUUAUUUUAAUAAUAACCAAAAAAAUAAUGAAUGAGAUUUUUUAAGCAAAAUGAUCUUAGUUCAUUUCAUCAACAAUAAGAAGUGAAACAUAAUGAAUGAUAGAGUAAAAAAUGUGUUGACUAUCUACCCAAAAAAAAAAAAAGUGUGGACUAGACUUUAAUAAGGACCCUCUAGCUAAAUUAGAGUUAUAUUUGCUUGUCUUUUAAUGAAAUCAAACUUGAAGUUAGAGUGAGUAUGUAAAAGUUAUCUACAUGGAUUCAAUAGAACUCCUCACUCAUUAUGAUAUUACUUUGAACUUGACCUAACAUUAACAUUUUUUAUUUAUUUAGAGUGGACUUGAAGAUGAUGGUCAGAGUUAAUUAAAUAUUAAGCGUGCGAUUGUUGAUCUAUAGAGGGGGUGAUGCAUCUUUAAGGUCUCCGAUGUUCAAGUUGAUGAGGAUUUUAGAAGAACUUAGAGGUUUAACUAGAGUAAACAGAGUACCUUUCACCAAGGGGCAUUGUAAUUUUAUAGGCGACGUGGUAUUGAGACUUGAAACAUUUAUUGCACCAUUUCAAUUGACAAUUCAUUUGAUUUAAGCGCAUAAGUUACUCAAACAAGUUUCAUCGGAUGUGCUAAUUUGUUUUUGUUGAUUAUUUUUAUUAUUAGAAUAGGAAUGUUAAAAAAUGUAAAUUUCUGACUACCAAACUUGAUCAAAAAAGAAUAAGAAUAUCUACAACAAUUAUCCAACAAUUUUCUUGACAAAUGCUUUUAAAAAGUAAGCGUCAAUGUAUUUAAUGUGUAGGCAGGGAUGCAAGAGAGGAUUGUAUUUUUUAUUUUUUUUAUUUUUUUAAGGAAAGAGAGGAUUGUUAGAAAGUUCAUAUAUUUCGUGGAAGUUAAUAGUGGCAAAAUGCACAAUGUCUUUGAAAACAUAAACGAAGAACAAUUUUUAAUGCGGAAAAUUAAAUGAUUUACGUGUAAAAUGUAUCUACAAAUGAACCAAUUGGAAAUUUAAGACUAAUAUUUUGCAACUGUGUCUAAUAUUUAACUAUCAUCUUUACUCAAAAAAAAAAAAAAAACACUAUCAUAUUUGUUGGUGUAUAGCUUCCCCACACCAAGUUCAAAUUCUUGAGAUUUUCUGCCGAAGUCAAAGGAAGAGGGAAAAUUGUAUUACUAUGAUGAAUGUAAAUUGAACUGACCGAGAAAGCAUCUUGCCCAUUUGUACUUACAACUUCAAGUCCAAAGUUUCACACAUUCAGUUAAAAAAAAAACAACUUAAAAUAACCUAAAUAUAAACCUGAACAACAUGGUGAUAUUAACCGAUAAAUUAAUUAAGGAAAAUGAUCGCAGAUGGCCUGGGACCCAUCAUAAACGAGUACGAAAGGUCAAAAUAAGUUACUGAGAAAAAGCAGAUGAAAUUUCGACCCACCAUCCUAUAGUUCUAAAAAGAGAAAUGAUAUUUGUAUAACCAUUUUGUACAAUUUUAUCUUUCAUACUUAUAUGAUGUCUUUUUUUUUUUUUUCUCUCUCUCCAUUGUUUUUGAUCAAUAAGAAAAGAGAAAAACAAGGUUGUCACUAAAGUUGUUAUGAAAUGUAUGUACAAAUAUCACUACUCUUCUAAAAAAUAUUGCACCGGCAACGACCCACUAUAAAUUAUAAUAUCCGACAGCCCCACAUUAAUCAACUUUUUGAAUAAUAUCUCAUAUAUAUAUAUUUUAUAUAUAUAUAUAUAUAUAUAUAUAUAUAUAUAUAUAUAUAUAAUUGCUAGAACAACCCAAUAUUUGACUCUUUCUUUUGAACAUAUUUGACUCUUUCUUUUGAACAUAUACUUUAAUGAUUAGUUAUUAUUAUUUUAUUACUAUGAUGAGUUGGACAUGUGAAUUAAUUCAAUAUUUUUUUUUAAAGGAAUGUGAAUUCAAGACUUGUCAUGUACACAAAAGGCAUUCUACCUCAAAAAAAAAAUGUACACAAAAGGCAUUUAUAUAGAUCCAUUCCACUUCAGUUUCACUUGCAUUAAUCUCUUCUUCAUUUAGCUUAAUAACCCUAGCUUAUACCAUGGCUCCAAAUAUGUGGAAUGUUCUAUCAGAAUCUAAAAGCAUAGUAAAUUCUCAACCUCAUCACUACCUCACUCUCUCCCUCAUCUUCCUCCUACCUCUCUCUUUCUUAUCCCUCCUCUUCCAAUUCAUUUCCAAAAACUUUCAACAGCAACUCUCCACAAACCCCACCACAAUCAUCUCCUUGUAUCUCCUCUUCAUCAUUCUCUCUUGCAUCAUCGCCUUUGGCGCCGUCAUCACCAUCACCUACAGCGUCUUCCACGCUUGCUUUAACCGACCAGUCAAACUCAAAGAAGCCCUCAAAUCCAUCAUCACUUCCUUCUUCCCCCUCCUCGCCACCGCAACAGUUGCAUUCGUCGUCUUCUUCUUCAUAUUUUUUCUAUUUGGACUUCUCAUUGGACUUGUAUUGUUUCUCAUCACUUACCUAGGCCAUGUCGACCUCAAAACUAACCCUAACUUGGUUGCGUUAUGUUUCAUGGUACUUUUCAUGAUUGUUUUACUCCCUCUUGUGACGUAUUUGCUAGUUAACUUGAGCUUUAUGAAAAUUAUUGUGGUGGUGGAAUCAAGUUGGGGUUUUGAACCAUUGAGGAGAAGUUGGAAAUUGGUGAAAGGAAUGAAAAGGUUGGUUUUGUCAACCAUUUUAUUGUUUGGAUUCUUGGAAGUGAUAUUGCUGAAGAUAAGUUGUUACAGUUUGGUACUAGUUUUAGUGAUUUCUCCUAUACUUGCAAUUCUUAUGCUUUACAAUAUUGUGGUUAAUACGGUGCUGUACAUACACUGCAAGGAGAAGCAUGGUGAAGUUGCAGAUGUGGAAUUUGGGAACGAAAAAGAUGGGGCUAACUUGUCCUUAAUUCCAGUAUAGAAAUGGUUGAUAAAGUUCCUCGUCUAAGUUGUCUUUGCUUUUAGUUUUUUAUCUUGUACUAAUGUCUUUAACUUUGUGAUUAAUUUAAUGUUUGGUUUGUUCAAGUCUUCUCCUUUGUGAUUAAUUAAUUAUGUGGUUGUUCAAUUUUCUUUCUUUUUCAAACCAAGGUAUAUCCUUUGUAAUAACUGAGUUGUAUACAAAGAUCCUUUAAAAAAAUAAAAAUACAAAGAUAAAUUAUACAUUAGAAAUUGUGUGAAUUUUUUUUCUUCAAAAUUUUGAUAAUUAUUUGUUGCCAAUAAAUUAUUAAUAGAAUUUUUAACAUGUGAUUUAUACAUGAUACCGGUUAAAAUAUUGAACUUUUCCGACUCGGUAUUAUUUAAUACACUUGUUGUUAGAGAAUACAAUUAGACACUUAAAUAAAUAAUAGGUUAUUAUCCAUUAUCAUUGUUAUAUAUAGGGUGUGUUUGGUUUGCAAAACAAUAAUUAUUGGAUAGAACAGUACAACAUAAGGUAGAACAGCACAAGACAAAUUUUGUUGAAGCAUUAAGGUGAUGUUGGAAAAUAAAUUGGAAGAUUAAACAUAAUAGUAAUUAUACUUUGAUCUAAUGUGUGAAUUGAAAAAAUAGAGUGUGGAGGUCCCACGUAAAAUAGAACUCACACAUUAGUAGUGUUUAAAUUGUGAUAUUUAAUUUUAAAUACUUGAUAAUUAUAAAAAUAAUAGUAAUUAUUAUUUUUAUUCGAGAAUAUCACUUCCCAUAAAUUUAGCUUAUGGUGGUUGUGAUAAGAAUAAGAAUUUAAUUGAAUUUUUUAUAUUUUCUUCAUUCAAUCCAACAGUUUGUUUCCUCCACUUUUGUGGAUUUGUUUCAGUUGAUCCUAUCCACAAGUGUUGUUGAACUGAUUAAUGGAUAAACUUCAUUUUAAUCUUAUCGAUUAGAGUAACUGUUGUCGCAAUUUAUGCUAAAACAGUUACAGAAUCUCUAUAAAUAGAAGACUCCACUCAGUUCAAAAAACACACCAAAAAGUUUCAUUGAGUUGACGAGUCUUUCAUCUCUCCAUCUCCUUUUUUCUGUCCCUUCGAAAUUAAGAGUGUUCUUAAACCAUAGUCCCUUUUCGGUUUAAUGUCCCUUUGGAAUUAAGAAUGGUCUUAAAAACAUAGUCCCUUCGAUAAUAUAAGUCCCUUCGGAAUAAAGAGUACUAUUAAGAUCAUAGUCCCUUUUGGAAUAAUAAUGUCCCGUCGGAAUUAAAUCUUAACAGUAUAUAAAUAUUCUUCCAAUAUUUUAAUUGAGGAGAAAUUAAAAAAUGGAAAUGGUGGUAUCACCAUAUUUGAGUGGUCGUAGUGCCAUAUUGAUACUUUGGAGAAAUUAAAGUUAGAAUGGUGGUAACACCAUAUUUGAGUGGUCUCAGCACCAUAAUAGAGCGGUAACAAUACCAUAUCCGAAGGUGUAAAUCUCGAAUGGUUUUCUACACUGCAGUAGUUAACCGCACAAUUGUAACUGAGCUUGUUUUAUCCUGGAGGCGGCGUGGUUGAUAGUUGCCUUGCACAAUUUUGGACAGUGCCAUGAAAUGUCUUAAAAAGAGUGAUCUGGUCGUGACUCAACCUAGUAACAACUUCGGUUGAUAAUAGAAUUUGGAAAUCCAAAUACAACAGUUUGGAAAUCCAAAAACAACAAUUUUAAGACGUUUCGAUCUGACUAUAUUAAUUUCAAAUUUUCUAACUUCAUGAUUUUUAAUUUCUUUCUUCUGUAACUUUUCGUUUUUGGUUCUGGUCCCUGUAAUAUAGUCAGGGAUCUUCUAGAAGGCCACCUAAAUUUCAUAUUUAGGUGUUUUUAAUUUCGUCCCUCUGUACCUUUUCGUUUUUGGUUUUGGUCCCUGUAAUAUAGUCAGGGAUCAUCUGUCAGUCCACAUAAGCGUGUUUAGCCAAGUCAGCACGUGUCACAUUACUCAUGUUGUUAGCCAACAAGGCGUUUUUGUAACAGAGUUUGACAGGAGGGACGAAAAGCAAAAAGUUAUUAACUUACAGGGGUUAUUUUAGAACAAAAAAAGAUACAGGGACGAAAACCAAAAACACGCCAAAUUACACGGACGAUUUACAUAUUUAAGCCCUUUUUAAUUUAAUUAUUAUAGCAUAUGAUUUCAGCAGCCUCUUAAAAAAAAAAGCAUAUGAUUUCAGCAAAAAAAAAAAAAAUUAGUAUAUGAUUUUGCUCCCACUUAACAAUAUUUAUGGAUUCGUCCCUGGUUUGAUCCACUUGUUAAAUGGCAUGAACAUAAACCUCGAAUUGUGAAUUAGAUUAGGCACUAGAUUGACCAAACAAGGACAUAAAGAGGAUUCAGAAAAUUCUAAUCGUCAUCAUUUUGUUUUUGAUUAUCUUUUAUUUUCAAUUGCAAACCAAACCCUGAAAAUACCUUAAUUUAUAGUUUUUAUUAAGUAUUGUUGCUUAAAUUGUCGAGUAGAAAACAACGAUACAUUUUUUUUUGAAGGAAGAAAACAACGAUACAUAUGAAGACGAUUGACUUACUACUUUAUAAUUUAUACGAUUUGAUACACUUACCGAAUUUAUCAUCAUAUUGUGAGAUGCUGUAUAAUUGCAAAAACAUUAAAAUUUAUGUUGACCCUCUCAUUUCCCUCUAGUCUCCUUUUGCGUGUGAAAAUCCCUUUAAGAAACUUGGCAUAUCUUAGAAGCAACUUGAUCACUUCAAAGAGAGGAAUAUUUUUUUUUUUUUUUGAACAAUCAAAGAGAGGAAUAUUCAAUUCAACCUUUCUAAAUAUAUCAAAGAUUUCCCUAUCCAUAUACGAUAUAUGCAUGCAUGAUUCAUUUUCCCUUACAUAACUUCCAGACCCCACUACUUGAAAAAUGAGCAUACAAGCAAUCGCGACAGAUCAUAUCACAAAUGUGAAAACUACACCUGCUGCUCGUUAAGAACCUUAUCAAGCACGAGUUUACAACUACUCUAGUAAAAAACCGUAUAAAAAAACUUAAUAGUGAUGAAGCGAAAAAGAGUACAGGACAAUACAAUGAAAAAAACAUAAAAAAUAAGCCCAUAAAAAACGAGGGCAAAAACCAAAUUCUAACAAAAUUAAGCAAUACGCAAAAAGAACCAAUAGAAAGAGCUAAACAACAUAAAAUUACACUACUUGAAUAUCUAAAAAUAUUACCAAAAGUAGCAUGACCACGACUAUUUAUUUUUAUUUUUUUAAAACAAAGACCACAACUAUAUUUUUAUUUUAAUAAAAAAACCAGGACUAUUAUUACUUAGCUUACGUAGUUGAUAUAAAAUAAUGGUUUUCUUUCUUUCAAAAAUAAAAUAAAAUAAUGGAUUUGUCUAACGUAUUGCAAUGUUAAAACAACUAAAAUAGUAACUUUUAAUUGAAAAAUAAUCAUUUAUUAAAAAGUUAUUAUAUUCAUUAAUAUAAAAUCUAUAAGUUCUAAUAAAAAUUUAUUAUUUUAAAUUUUUUAACGCAUGUAAAUUUGCACAUAGAAAAUCCUAAUAUAAAAAGAGAGAGGGAGAGAGAAAGAAAGUGGGUUGUUAUGCAUGUGAUUUCGAUGAAAUUGCUUUCUUUUUUCUCAGAGGACGAUGCAAUAUUCUACUUCUACCUACAAUUUAAGUUGAUUAUUUCUAUUACUUUUCAAUACUUUUUUUUGACCAAAUCUUUAAUACUUGUCACCAGGGAUAUUAUAUCUUAUAAAAACCGAAGUAUACAUGGUGAAAAAGUUCACAAAAGCCUAGUCUCUCUUACACCAUGGCUCCAAAAAUGUGGGAUCUUCUCUCUGAAUCUAAACGCAUAAUAAAUUCUCAACCUCGUCACUACCUUAAUCUCUACCUCAUCUUCCUCCUUCCCCUCUCUUUCCUCUCCCAAAUCUUCAAACACCUUCAACAGCAACCACCCAGAAACCACAGCACAAUCACCUUUUUAUCUAUCAUCUUCUUACUUAUCUCUUCCAUCUUCAGUUAUGGCGCCGUCAUCACCAUCACCUACAGCGUCUUCCACGCCUUCUUUGAUCGACCGGUCAAACUAAAAGAAGCCAUCAAAUCCAUCACCACUUCUUUCUUCCCCCUCUUCGCCACCAGCAUCAUCACUUAUACUCUCUACUUUUUUGUUUCUUUUUUCUUGACGUUUCUCAUUGGAAUUGUAUUGUUUCUCAUCGUUUAUCUAGGCAAUAUCGACC
Molecule: long non-coding RNA, 16535 nt
Filed under: Medicago truncatula (barrel medic)
Lineage: Eukaryota; Viridiplantae; Streptophyta; Magnoliopsida; Fabales; Fabaceae
Description: long non-coding RNA (MTRU_LNC002102)
Source: RNAcentral